This 370-nucleotide ribosomal RNA is filed under the name uncultured organism. RNAcentral describes it as "bacterial SSU rRNA". It matches the Rfam family "Bacterial small subunit ribosomal RNA", at positions 526 to 896 of the family's 1533-position model. The record is from RNAcentral.
CGUAGGGUGCAAGCGUUAAUCGGAAUUACUGGGCGUAAAGCGUGCGCAGGCGGUUAUGUAAGACAGUUGUGAAAUCCCCGGGCUCAACCUGGGAACUGCAUCUGUGACUGCAUAGCUAGAGUACGGUAGAGGGGGAUGGAAUUCCGCGUGUAGCAGUGAAAUGCGUAGAUAUGCGGAGGAACACCGAUGGCGAAGGCAAUCCCCUGGACCUGUACUGACGCUCAUGCACGAAAGCGUGGGGAGCAAACAGGGUUAGAUACCCUGGUAGUCCACGCCCUAAACGAUGUCAACUGGUUGUUGGGUCUUCACUGACUCAGUAACGAAGCUAACGCGUGAAGUUGACCGCCUGGGGAGUACGGCCGCAAGGUUG